UAGCGUAUAUUAAAGUUGUUGCAGUUAAAAAGCUCGUAGUUGGAUUUCGGAAUGGGCCAGUUGGUCCGCCGCAAGGUGAGUUACUGACUGGUUUGUUCUUCUUCGCAAAGACUGCGUGUGCUCUUUACUGAGUGUACGUAGGAUUUACGACGUUUACUUUGAAAAAAUUAGAGUGUUCAAAGCAGGCUAUCGCUUGAAUACAUGAGCAUGGAAUAAUGGAAUAGGACUUUGGUUCUAUUUUGUUGGUUUCUAGGACCGAAGUAAUGAUUAAGAGGGACAAUUGGGGGCAUCCGUAUUUCGUUGUC
RNAcentral lists this ribosomal RNA (305 nucleotides) under Rathkea environmental sample. RNAcentral describes it as "SSU rRNA". It matches the Rfam family "Eukaryotic small subunit ribosomal RNA", at positions 595 to 906 of the family's 1831-position model. The record is from RNAcentral. Lineage: Eukaryota; Metazoa; Cnidaria; Hydrozoa; Anthoathecata; Rathkeidae.